UCAAUGAGCUUGUAAAGCAUAUAUUUUGAAAAUAUAAGAAAGAUCUAAAUCUAUUGAUUU
RNAcentral lists this transfer RNA (60 nucleotides) under Cycloneda sanguinea. RNAcentral's name for it is "tRNA-Ser". The record is from RNAcentral. Lineage: Eukaryota; Metazoa; Arthropoda; Insecta; Coleoptera; Coccinellidae.